CAGCCGCCGCGGUAAUACGUAGGUGGCAAGCGUUGUCCGGAAUUAUUGGGCGUAAAGGGCUCGCAGGCGGUUUCUCAAGUCUGAUGUGAAAGCCCCCGGCUCAACCGGGGAGGGUCAUUGGAAACUGGGAAACUUGAGUGCAGAAGAGGAGAGUGGAAUUCCACGUGUAGCGGUGAAAUGCGUAGAGAUGUGGAGGAACACCAGUGGCGAAGGCGACUCUCUGGUCUGUAACUGACGCUGAGGAGCGAAAGCGUGGGGAGCGAACAGGAUUAGAUACCCCAGUAGUCCCUGUCUCUUAUAC
This 301-nucleotide ribosomal RNA is filed under the name uncultured bacterium. RNAcentral describes it as "partial 16S ribosomal RNA". It matches the Rfam family "Bacterial small subunit ribosomal RNA", at positions 509 to 807 of the family's 1533-position model. The record is from RNAcentral.